Molecule: long non-coding RNA, 748 nt
Organism: Tupaia belangeri chinensis (Chinese tree shrew)
Lineage: Eukaryota; Metazoa; Chordata; Mammalia; Scandentia; Tupaiidae
Exons: 4
Source: RefSeq, a predicted model, not a curated record
ACAUGUGAACUCUAACCACCAGUGACUUAGUCCCCACCUCCCCCAUGCUUUUCAUCACACACUUACACACUGCACCUGGGGCCUCUGCUUCCAUCCCACCAUUCGUGAGCCCAUCCAACUCAAGUUCCAUGCUCAGCAUUAACUCAGAAUAGCCAGUACCUGCGCGAGAUAUCUACACUGUAUUUUCCUGCUUCCCAAGCAGUUAGCAAGAUCAUACGACUGAGAAGUGAGAGGAAACUGUGUGUCUGGCCUGGCCUGUCCUCUAAAAACUCCCUGGUUUGACUUCCCAUGCUGCAGUCAAGGCCAGCACUACACCUAGGAAGGCUCCUGCUAAAGACGAAGUACUGCAAUCCAAGCAAAUGUUCCAAUGUGAAGUUUUCAAGAAGUUGGGUCAAAAACAGGGACUAAAAGACAAGCAUCAAGUUGCCCUCGCUCACCAGGAGAUUAACCCAUCAGGCUGCUGAAUGAGAAGGGACAGAGAGGCCCUGACAGGAGGCCUGAGAUGCAGGACAAAUCAAAACCAAUCCACCUGCUUAAGGAAGACUCUCCCAACGACCGCCUCGCUGCGACCUCGCCCUCCUGUGGACAUCUGUGGCAAGUAUUAUCGCAGCCACUGAUGUGGCACUGGGCCAUUUAUGACUGCCUCAUGACACUGUUUUUCAUCAUUGUGUUCGCACUGUUGUUUAACAACUUUGUGUAGUCGUCUAUUCUCACUCCGAAUAAACCGUAGCCCCUGAAGGCAAGUAGC